CCUACGGGAGGCAGCAGUGGGGAAUCUUGCGCAAUGGGCGAAAGCCUGACGCAGCAACGCCGCGUGCGGGAAGAAGGCUUUCGGGCUGUAAACCGCUUUCAGCAGGAACGAAAAUGACGGUACCUGCAGAAGAAGGAGCGGCCAACUAUGUGCCAGCAGCCGCGGUGAUACAUAGGCUUCAAGCGUUGUCCGGAUUUAUUGGGCGUAAAGAGUUCGUAGGCGGUCAAGUAAGUCGGGUGUGAAAAUUCUGGGCUCAACCCAGAGACGCCACCCGAUACUGCUUAACUUGAGUUCGAUAGGGGAGUGGGGAAUUCCUAGUGUAGCGGUGAAAUGCGCAGAUAUUAGGAGGAACACCGGUGGCGAAGGCGCCACUCUGGAUCGAUACUGACGCUGAGGAACGAAAGCAUGGGUAGCAAACAGGAUUAGAUACCCUGGUAGUCCAUGCCGUAAACGGUGGGCACUAGGUGUGGGUUUCUAUUAACGAAAUCCGCGCCGUCGCUAACGCAUUAAGUGCCCCGCCUGGGGGAGGUACGGUCGCGAGACUAAACUACAAUAGAAUUAGACGGCGUGAGACGUCGCCGACGGACGACGACGAGGGAGUAGG
This 604-nucleotide ribosomal RNA is filed under the name uncultured bacterium. RNAcentral describes it as "bacterial SSU rRNA". It matches the Rfam family "Bacterial small subunit ribosomal RNA", at positions 338 to 954 of the family's 1533-position model. The record is from RNAcentral.